CGGCGAGUGAAGCGGCAAAAGCUCAAAUUUGAAAUCUGGUACCUUCGGUGCCCGAGUUGUAAUUUGGAGAGGGCAACUUUGGGGCCGUUCCUUGUCUAUGUUCCUUGGAACAGGACGUCAUAGAGGGUGAGAAUCCCGUGUGGCGAGGAGUGCGGUUCUUUGUAAAGUGCCUUCGAAGAGUCGAGUUGUUUGGGAAUGCAGCUCUAAGUGGGUGGUAAAUUCCAUCUAAAGCUAAAUAUUGGCGAGAGACCGAUAGCGAACAAGUACAGUGAUGGAAAGAUGAAAAGAACUUUGAAAAGAGAGUGAAAAAGUACGUGAAAUUGUUGAAAGGGAAGGGCAUUUGAUCAGACAUGGUGUUUUGUGCCCUCUGCUCCUUGUGGGUAGGGGAAUCUCGCAUUUCACUGGGCCAGCAUCAGUUUUGGUGGCAGGAUAAAUCCAUAGGAAUGUAGCUUGCCUCGGUAAGUAUUAUAGCCUGUGGGAAUACUGCCAGCUGGGACUGAGGACUGCGACGUAAGUCAAGGAUGCUGGCAUAAUGGUUAUAUGCCGCCCGUCUUGA
This 556-nucleotide ribosomal RNA is filed under the name Saccharomyces cerevisiae (brewer's yeast). RNAcentral describes it as "partial large subunit ribosomal RNA". It matches the Rfam family "Eukaryotic large subunit ribosomal RNA", at positions 87 to 657 of the family's 3401-position model. The record is from RNAcentral. Lineage: Eukaryota; Fungi; Ascomycota; Saccharomycetes; Saccharomycetales; Saccharomycetaceae.